Molecule: ribosomal RNA, 484 nt
Filed under: uncultured bacterium
Lineage: Bacteria
Description: partial 16S ribosomal RNA
Rfam family: Bacterial small subunit ribosomal RNA
Source: RNAcentral
AUUGAACGCUGGCGGCAGGCCUAACACAUGCAAGUCGAGCGGAUGAAGGGAGCUUGCUCCUGGAUUCAGCGGCGGACGGGUGAGUAAUGCCUAGGAAUCUGCCUGGUAGUGGGGGAUAAUGUCCGGAAACGGGCGCUAAUACCGCAUACGUCCUGAGGGAGAAAGUGGGGGAUCUUCGGACCUCACGCUAUCAGAUGAGCCUAGGUCGGAUUAGCUAGUUGGUGGGGUAAAGGCCUACCAAGGCGACGAUCCGUAACUGGUCUGAGAGGAUGAUCAGUCACACUGGAACUGAGACACGGUCCAGACUCCUACGGGAGGCAGCAGUGGGGAAUAUUGGACAAUGGGCGAAAGCCUGAUCCAGCCAUGGCGCGUGUGUGAAGAAGGUCUUCGGAUUGUAAAGCACUUUAAGUUGGGAGGAAGGGCAGUAAGUUAAUACCUUGCUGUUUUGACGUUACCAACAGAAUAAGCACCGGCUAACUUCGUG